AAAUUAAAAGUUGAGAAGCUAAUCUGCGGGCCGUGUUUGGAUGCACAAUCACAAAAUUUUAUAGAGUUUAUAUUUUAUAAUUUUGGUCCGAAUAAAAUAGAAAAUUAUGUAACUAUAAAAAAUUUUACGGCUUUAAUUUUAUAUUUGGAUACACAUCGUACAAUUUUAUAAGAUCUCUAAAAGUUAAAAAUUAAAAAUUAAACUUUUAAAAUUUAAAGUUUAAAAUUUAAUAUUAAAUAUAAGUUAAAAAAAUCUAGAAAUUUAAAAAUUUAAAUUUUAACAUUUAAAAUCUAUAAUUUUAAAUUUGAAGUUUAUUUCGUUAGCAUGUUUGAUUAUUUGAAAGUAGCUGAAGUGAGAAAAAAAAAACACUAUUGUAAAAGUGACACUUCAUAAAAGUUAUUUUUUAGUUUGAUUGUUUAGUUGGUUAUAAAGUGAAAAAAUAGGAAAUUAUAGUACUAUCGUUUUGAUUGUUUGAUUACAUAUAAAGAAGUGAAAUUAUAAAUGAAUGACUUAUACUCAUAGUUUAAGUUUAAAUUUAUUUUUAGAACUCAAAAAUAAAUUUUAAACUUUUAAUUAAAAUUUAAAUCUAA
Molecule: long non-coding RNA, 590 nt
Filed under: Ananas comosus (pineapple)
Lineage: Eukaryota; Viridiplantae; Streptophyta; Magnoliopsida; Poales; Bromeliaceae
Description: long non-coding RNA (ACOM_LNC032625)
Source: RNAcentral